AUUGAACGCUGGCGGCAUGCUUUACACAUGCAAGUCGAACGGUAACAGGCCGCAAGGUGCUGACGAGUGGCGAACGGGUGAGUAAUGCAUCGGAACGUGCCCAGUCGUGGGGGAUAACUACUCGAAAGAGUAGCUAAUACCGCAUACGAUCUAUGGAUGAAAGCGGGGGACCGUAAGGCAUCGCGCGAUUGGAGCGGCCGAUGUCAGAUUAGGUAGUUGGUGGGGUAAAGGCUCACCAAGCCAACGAUCUGUAGCUGGUCUGAGAGGACGACCAGCCACACUGGGACUGAGACACGGCCCAGACUCCUGCGGGAGGCAGCAGUGGGGAAUGUUGGACAAUGGGCGCAAGCCUGAUCCAGCAAGGCCGCGUGCAGGAAGAAGGCGUUCGGGUUGUAAACUGCUUUUGUACGGAACGAAACGGCUCUGGUUAAUACCCGGGGCUAAUGACGGUACCGGAAGAAUAAGCACCGGCUAACUACGUG
Molecule: ribosomal RNA, 482 nt
Filed under: uncultured bacterium
Lineage: Bacteria
Description: partial 16S ribosomal RNA
Rfam family: Bacterial small subunit ribosomal RNA
Source: RNAcentral